GACGAACGCUGGCGGCGUGCUUAACACAUGCAAGUCGAACGGAAAGGCCCUGCUUGCAGGGUACUCGAGUGGCGAACGGGUGAGUAACACGUGGGUGAUCUGCCCUGCACUUCGGGAUAAGCCUGGGAAACUGGGUCUAAUACCGGAUAGGAGCCAUUUUUAGUGUGAUGGUUGGAAAGUUUUUUCGGUGUAGGAUGAGCUCGCGGCCUAUCAGCUUGUUGGUGGGGUAAUGGCCUACCAAGGCGGCGACGGGUAGCCGGCCUGAGAGGGGGGACGGCCACAUUGGGACUGAGAGACGGCCCAGACUCCUACGGGAGGCAGCAGUGGGGAAUAUUGCACAAUGGGCGCAAGCCUGAUGCAGCGACGCCGCGUGGGGGAUGACGGCCUUCGGGUUGUAAACUCCUUUCGCUAGGGACGAAGCUUUGUGUGACGGUACCUAGAUAAGAAGCACCGGCUAACUACGUG
This 465-nucleotide ribosomal RNA is filed under the name uncultured bacterium. RNAcentral's name for it is "partial 16S ribosomal RNA". It matches the Rfam family "Bacterial small subunit ribosomal RNA", at positions 28 to 507 of the family's 1533-position model. The record is from RNAcentral.